Molecule: ribosomal RNA, 461 nt
Filed under: uncultured bacterium
Lineage: Bacteria
Description: partial 16S ribosomal RNA
Rfam family: Bacterial small subunit ribosomal RNA
Source: RNAcentral
CCUACGGGAGGCAGCAGUGAGGAAUAUUGGUCAAUGGGCGCGAGUCUGAACCAGCCAAGUCGCGUGAGGGAGGACGGCCCUACGGGUUGUAAACCUCUUUUGCCGGGGAGCAACGGGCGACACGUGUGGCGCCACUGAGAGUACCCGGAGAAAAAGCAUCGGCUAACUCCGUGCCAGCAGCCGCGGUAAUACGGAGGAUGCGAGCGUUAACCGGAUUUAUUGGGUUUAAGGGGUGCGGAGGCGGAGUGUUAAGUCAGUGGUCAAAUUUGGGGGGUUCACCCCCUACCGGCCGUUAAAACUGGCGCUCUUGAGUGGAAGAGAAGUAUGCGGAAUGCGUGGUGUAGCGGUGAAAUGCUUAGAUAUCACACAGAACCCCGAUUGCGAAGGCAGCAUGCCGGCUUCCGACUGACGCUGAAGCACGAAAGCGUGGGGAUCAAACAGGAUUAGAUACCCGAGUAGUC